Small nucleolar RNA from Camelus dromedarius (Arabian camel), 73 nucleotides. The record is from Ensembl. NCBI's taxonomy places the organism in Eukaryota, Metazoa, Chordata, Mammalia, Artiodactyla, Camelidae.
UGGAUCAGUAAUAAUGACUGGUUGCAGGUAAGUCGUGGAUGAUGAAUAACGUACGUCUGAUACUGUGAUCCAA